UUCAUUGUUUGUGCAAAUUUGAGAUUCGCAUUGAUCACUUAGGCCCCGUUUGGAUACCCCUAAAAACGUAGCAUAGUUAAAUUAUGCUAUACUAGUAGGAAAAUUAUUCUAUGAAGCGCUUGUGAGAAAAAAAAAUGACGUAAUUUUUAAAGUAUAAUUAAACUAUACUCUAAAAAAUAGAACAUGUUACAUUCCACUCUAACAAAAAAAAAAUAAUUCCACCAUUGCUGGACAAAGAUACAUCAAGUUUUAACUUUUAAAUUUCAAUAUAAAAUUUUAAAUUUCAACAUAGAUUUCAAAUUUUAAAUUUUAAAUUUUAUAAUUUAAUUUAUAUUCAAAUUUUUAAUUUCAAAUUUAAAUUUUCAAUUUUCAAUUUUAAAUAUCAAAAAUUAAAUUUUAUAAUUUCAAAAUAUAAAUGUCAAAUUUUAAAUUUUAAAUUUUCUAAUUUUAUAAAUUCAAUUUUUAAUUCUCAAUUUUUAAUUUUCAAAUUUAAUUUUUACAUUUAAAAUUUAAAAUUUCAAUUUUAAAAUUUCAAAUUUAUUUUAAAUUUUAGUUUUCAAAUUUCAAAUUUUAAAUUUUAAAUUUUAAAUUUCAAAUAUCAAAUUUUAAACUUCAAAUUUUAAAUUUU
This 628-nucleotide long non-coding RNA is filed under the name Ananas comosus (pineapple). RNAcentral's name for it is "long non-coding RNA (ACOM_LNC006115)". Lineage: Eukaryota; Viridiplantae; Streptophyta; Magnoliopsida; Poales; Bromeliaceae. The record is from RNAcentral.